GACGAACGCUGGCGGCGUGCUUAACACAUGCAAGUCGAACGGAAAGGCCCUGCUUGCAGGGUACUCGAGUGGCGAACGGGUGAGUAACACGUGGGUGAUCUGCCCUGCACUUCGGGAUAAGCUUGGGAAACUGGGUCUAAUACCGGAUAGGAACCAUCUUUAGUGUGGUGGUUGGAAAGUUUUUUCGGUGUAGGAUGAGCUCGCGGCCUAUCAGCUUGUUGGUGGGGUAAUGGCCUACCAAGGCGGCGACGGGUAGCCGGCCUGAGAGGGUGUACGGCCACAUUGGGACUGAGAUACGGCCCAGACUCCUACGGGAGGCAGCAGUGGGGAAGAUUGCACAAUGGGCGCAAGCCUGAUGCAGCGACGCCGCGUGGGGGAUGAAGGCCUUCGGGUUGUAAACUCCUUUCGCUAGGGACGAAGCUUUUUGUGACGGUACCUAGAUAAGAAGCACCGGCUAACUACGUG
RNAcentral lists this ribosomal RNA (465 nucleotides) under uncultured bacterium. RNAcentral's name for it is "partial 16S ribosomal RNA". It matches the Rfam family "Bacterial small subunit ribosomal RNA", at positions 28 to 507 of the family's 1533-position model. The record is from RNAcentral.